RNAcentral lists this non-coding RNA (97 nucleotides) under bovine gut metagenome. Its description in RNAcentral is "THF riboswitch". It matches the Rfam family "THF (Tetrahydrofolate) riboswitch aptamer". From Rfam's summary of the family: THF riboswitch presents a pseudoknot that joins P1-P2 and the loop of P3 and two THF binding. The record is from RNAcentral.
GCAGAGUAGAGUAUCGGGCGUAAAGUGUCGUGUGAACGGGGAGUUGUCACGCGGACGAAAAGCUUUUGCUUGCGGUUUGAUAUUCGCAUCCCGCUGC